RNAcentral lists this ribosomal RNA (287 nucleotides) under Rathayibacter caricis. RNAcentral describes it as "partial 16S ribosomal RNA". It matches the Rfam family "Bacterial small subunit ribosomal RNA", at positions 216 to 507 of the family's 1533-position model. Lineage: Bacteria; Bacillati; Actinomycetota; Actinomycetes; Micrococcales; Microbacteriaceae. The record is from RNAcentral.
CGGUCAAGGAUGGACUACGCGGCCUAUCAGCUUGUUGGUGAGGUAAUGGCUCACCAAGGCGACGACUGGUAGCCGGCCUGAGAGGGUGACCGGCCACACUUGGGACUCGAGACACGGCCCAGACUCCUACGGGAGGCAGCAGUGGGGAAUAUUGCACAAUGGGCGAAAGCCUGAUGCAGCAACGCCGCGUGAGGGAUGACGGCCUUCGGGUUGUAAACCUCUUUUAGUAGGGAAGAAGGACUUCGGUUUUGACGGUACCUGCAGAAAAAGCACCGGCUAACUACGUG